AUCCAACUGACAAGCCCCAAAUAGGACGAAACGCGCGUCCUGGAU
Schistosoma mansoni is the source of this 45-nucleotide non-coding RNA. Lineage: Eukaryota; Metazoa; Platyhelminthes; Trematoda; Strigeidida; Schistosomatidae. The record is from Rfam.